GACGAACGCUGGCGGCGUGCCUAAUACAUGCAAGUCGAGCGGAUGGAUGGGAGCUUGCUCCCUGACAUUAGCGGCGGACGGGUGAGUAACACGUGGGCAACCUGCCCUGCAGAUGGGGAUAACUCCGGGAAACCGGGGCUAAUACCGAAUAAUCAGUCCCUCCGCAUGGAGGGACUCUGAAAGACGGUUUCGGCUGUCACUGCAGGAUGGGCCCGCGGCGCAUUAGCUAGUUGGUGGGGUAACGGCCUACCAAGGCGACGAUGCGUAGCCGACCUGAGAGGGUGAUCGGCCACACUGGGACUGAGACACGGCCCAGACUCCUACGGGUGGCAG
RNAcentral lists this ribosomal RNA (333 nucleotides) under uncultured Bacillota bacterium. RNAcentral's name for it is "bacterial SSU rRNA". It matches the Rfam family "Bacterial small subunit ribosomal RNA", at positions 28 to 351 of the family's 1533-position model. The record is from RNAcentral. Lineage: Bacteria; Bacillati; Bacillota.